RNAcentral lists this ribosomal RNA (253 nucleotides) under uncultured bacterium. RNAcentral describes it as "partial 16S ribosomal RNA". It matches the Rfam family "Bacterial small subunit ribosomal RNA", at positions 524 to 776 of the family's 1533-position model. The record is from RNAcentral.
UACGGAGGAUGCAAGCGUUAUCCGGAUUCAUUGGGUUUAAAUGGUGCGUAGGCGGAAUAAUAAGUCAGUGGUGAAAGCCUGCGGCUUAACCGUAGAAUUGCCGUUGAUACUGUUAUUCUUGAGUAUAGUUGAAGUGGGCGGAAUGUGUAAUGUAGCGGUGAAAUGCUUAGAUAUUACACAGAACACCAAUUGCGAAGGCAGCUCGCUAAACUGUUACUGACGCUGAGGCACGAAAGCGUGGGGAGCAAACAGG